Molecule: ribosomal RNA, 978 nt
Filed under: uncultured marine bacterium
Lineage: Bacteria
Description: bacterial SSU rRNA
Rfam family: Bacterial small subunit ribosomal RNA
Source: RNAcentral
UGCAAGUCGAGCGCGAAAGCACUUCGGUGUGAGUAAAGCGGCGGACGGGUGAGUAACGCGUAGGAAUCUACCUAGUAGUGGGGGACAACUCGGGGAAACUCGAGCUAAUACCGCAUACGCCCUACGGGGGAAAGCGGGGGACCUUCGGGCCUCGUGCUAUUAGAUGAGCCUGCGUUGGAUUAGCUAGUUGGUGGGGUAAAGGCCUACCAAGGCGACGAUCCAUAGCUGGUCUGAGAGGAUGAUCAGCCACACCGGGACUGAGACACGGCCCGGACUCCUACGGGAGGCAGCAGUGGGGAAUAUUGCGCAAUGGGCGAAAGCCUGACGCAGCCAUGCCGCGUGUGUGAAGAAGGCCUUCGGGUUGUAAAGCACUUUCAAUUGGGAGGAAAGGUUCACGGUUAAUAACCGUGAGCUGUGACGUUACCUUUAGAAGAAGCACCGGCUAACUCCGUGCCAGCAGCCGCGGUAAUACGGAGGGUGCAAGCGUUAAUCGGAAUUACUGGGCGUAAAGCGCGCGUAGGUGGUCUGUUAAGUCGGAUGUGAAAGCCCCGGGCUCAACCUGGGAACUGCAUCCGAUACUGGCAGACUAGAGUGCGGGAGAGGGAGGUAGAAUUCCACGUGUAGCGGUGAAAUGCGUAGAUAUGUGGAGGAAUACCAGUGGCGAAGGCGGCCUCCUGGCUCGACACUGACACUGAGGUGCGAAAGCGUGGGAGCAAACAGGAUUAGAUACCCUGGUAGUCCACGCCGUAAACGAUGUCUACUAGCUGUAGGGGUACUUGAGACCUUUGUAGCGCAGCUAACGCAAUAAGUAGACCGCCUGGGGAGUACGGCCGCAAGGUUAAAACUCAAAUGAAUUGACGGGGGCCCGCACAAGCAGUGGAGCAUGUGGUUUAAUUCGAUGCAACGCGAAGAACCUUACCAGGCCUUGACAUCCUCGGACUUUCUAAGAGAUAGAUUGGUGCCUUCGGGAACCGAGUG